UCCGUCCUACGGGGGGCAGCAGUGAGGGAUAUUGGUCAAUGGGGGAAACCCUGAACCAGCAACGCCGCGUGAGGGAAGACGGUUUUCGGAUUGUAAACCUCUGUCCUCUGUGAAGAUGAUGACGGUAGCAGAGGAGGAAGCUCCGGCUAACUACGUGCCAGCAGCCGCGGUAAUACGUAGGGAGCAAGCGUUGUCCGGAUUUACUGGGUGUAAAGGGUGCGUAGGCGGCUUUGCAAGUCGGAAUUGAAAUCUAUGGGCUUAACCCAUAAACUGCUUUUGCAACUGCAGGUCUUGAGUGAAGUGGA
RNAcentral lists this ribosomal RNA (305 nucleotides) under uncultured bacterium. Its description in RNAcentral is "bacterial SSU rRNA". It matches the Rfam family "Bacterial small subunit ribosomal RNA", at positions 333 to 655 of the family's 1533-position model. The record is from RNAcentral.